UACGAGGGGGGCAAGCGUUAUCCGGAAUUAUUGGGCGUAAAGAGCUCGUAGGCGGUUUGUCGCGUCUGCCGUGAAAGUCCGGGGCUCAACUCCGGAUCUGCGGUGGGUACGGGCAGACUAGAGUGAUGUAGGGGAGACUGGAAUUCCUGGUGUAGCGGUGAAAUGCGCAGAUAUCAGGAGGAACACCGAUGGCGAAGGCAGGUCUCUGGGCAUUAACUGACGCUGAGGAGCGAAAGCAUGGGGAGCGAACAGG
This 253-nucleotide ribosomal RNA is filed under the name uncultured bacterium. RNAcentral's name for it is "partial 16S ribosomal RNA". It matches the Rfam family "Bacterial small subunit ribosomal RNA", at positions 524 to 776 of the family's 1533-position model. The record is from RNAcentral.